GACGAACGCUGGCGGCGUGCUUAACACAUGCAAGUCGAACGGAAAGGCCCUGCUUUUGUGGGGUGCUCGAGUGGCGAACGGGUGAGUAACACGUGAGUAUCCUGCCCUUGACUUUGGGAUAACUUCAGGAAACUGGGGCUAAUACCGUAUCGGAGCUCCUGCUGCAUGGUGGGGGUUGGAUAGUUUCGGCGGUUGGGGAUGGAUUCGCGGCUUAUCAGCUUGUUGGUGGGGUAGUGGCUUACCAAGGCUUUGACGGGUAGCCGGCCUGAGAGGGUGACCGGCCACAUUGGGACUGAGAUACGGCCCAGACUCCUACGGGAGGCAGCAGUGGGGAAUAUUGCACAAUGGGCGGAAGCCUGAUGCAGCAACGCCGCGUGCGGGAUGACGGCCUUCGGGUUGUAAACCGCUUUCGCCUGUGACGAAGCGUGAGUGACGGUAAUGGGUAAAGAAGCACCGGCUAACUACGUG
This 468-nucleotide ribosomal RNA is filed under the name uncultured bacterium. Its description in RNAcentral is "partial 16S ribosomal RNA". It matches the Rfam family "Bacterial small subunit ribosomal RNA", at positions 28 to 507 of the family's 1533-position model. The record is from RNAcentral.